RNAcentral lists this ribosomal RNA (301 nucleotides) under uncultured bacterium. RNAcentral describes it as "partial 16S ribosomal RNA". It matches the Rfam family "Bacterial small subunit ribosomal RNA", at positions 509 to 807 of the family's 1533-position model. The record is from RNAcentral.
CAGUAGCCGCGGUAAUACGUAGGGUGCGAGCGUUAAUCGGAAUUACUGGGCGUAAAGCGGGCGCAGACGGUUACUUAAGCAGGAUGUGAAAUCCCCGGGCUCAACCUGGGAACUGCGUUCUGAACUGGGUGACUAGAGUGUGUCAGAGGGAGGUAGAAUUCCACGUGUAGCAGUGAAAUGCGUAGAGAUGUGGAGGAAUACCGAUGGCGAAGGCAGCCUCCUGGGAUAACACUGACGUUCAUGCCCGAAAGCGUGGGUAGCAGACAGGAUUAGAUACCCCUGUAGUCCCUGUCUCUUAUAC